Molecule: small nucleolar RNA, 86 nt
Organism: Lathyrus oleraceus (garden pea)
Lineage: Eukaryota; Viridiplantae; Streptophyta; Magnoliopsida; Fabales; Fabaceae
Product: small nucleolar RNA snoR138
Exons: 1
Source: RefSeq, a predicted model, not a curated record
CACGCCUUCGAAUAAUUAAACGACUAUAUUUUAUAUAUAAAUGUUGUUUAGUUCAGACAGAGGCGCAUAUCAAAUAUCAAAUAUCU